UGGACGGUCAGCAGACUGAGCCACCCAGGUGCCCCAUUUCAUCACACUUCUUAAAGUCCAACAAUGCCUUCCCAUCUCACUGUGAAUAAAGGUAAAGUGCCAACAAAGGCCUAAAAGACUGAACACAAUCUGGCCUCUCAUUACCUCUCUGACUUUAUCACCUACUACUCUCUUCUUCAUACACCCCAGAUUGAGCAACAAAUAAUCUGGGGAAAAUACAAGGAGAGGGGAGGGGUGGGCAACGGUUUACUUUGUAACACUAUUAUUUCAAAUAUGAAUACCACUUAAGAAUAAGUAAUGAAUUUUAUUUGAAAUUGUGACUACUUAGUUCAA
This is a long non-coding RNA of Neofelis nebulosa (Clouded leopard), 333 nucleotides long. RefSeq lists it as uncharacterized. Lineage: Eukaryota; Metazoa; Chordata; Mammalia; Carnivora; Felidae. The transcript has 2 exons. The record is from RefSeq and is a predicted model, not a curated record.